CCUACGGGGUGCAGCAGUGAGGAAUAUUGGUCAAUGGACGAGAGUCUGAACCAGCCAAGUAGCGUGAAGGAUGACCGCCCUAUGGGUUGUAAACUUCUUUUAUAUGGGAAUAAAAUGUUCCACGUGUGGGAUUUUGUAUGUACCAUAUGAAUAAGGAUCGGCUAACUCCGUGCCAGCAGCCGCGGUAAUACGGAGGAUCCGAGCGUUAUCCGGAUUUAUUGGGUUUAAAGGGAGCGUAGGUGGAUUGUUAAGUCAGUUGUGAAAGUUUGCGGCUCAACCGUAAAAUUGCAGUUGAAACUGGCAGUCUUGAGUACAGUAGAGGUGGGCGGAAUUCGUGGUGUAGCGGUGAAAUGCUUAGAUAUCACGAAGAACUCCGAUUGCGAAGGCAGUUCACUGGACUGCAACUGACACUGAGGCUCGAAAGUGUGGGUAUCAAACAGGAUUAGAUACCCGGGUAGUC
This 460-nucleotide ribosomal RNA is filed under the name uncultured bacterium. RNAcentral describes it as "partial 16S ribosomal RNA". It matches the Rfam family "Bacterial small subunit ribosomal RNA", at positions 338 to 795 of the family's 1533-position model. The record is from RNAcentral.